Molecule: transfer RNA, 71 nt
Filed under: Manacus vitellinus (golden-collared manakin)
Lineage: Eukaryota; Metazoa; Chordata; Aves; Passeriformes; Pipridae
Rfam family: tRNA
About the family: Transfer RNA (tRNA) molecules are approximately 80 nucleotides in length. Their secondary structure includes four short double-helical elements and three loops (D, anti-codon, and T loops).
Source: Rfam by way of RNAcentral
CCCCUGGUGGUCUAGUGGUUAGGAUGUGGCGCUCUCACUGCCGCGGCCCGGGUUCGAUUCUGGUCGGGGAA